AACCGAGAACUCCUACGGGAGGCAGCAGUGGGGAAUAUUGGACAAUGGGCGAAAGCCUGAUCCAGCCAUGCCGCGUGAGUGAUGAAGGCCCUAGGGUUGUAAAGCUCUUUUACCUGGGAAGAUAAUGACGGUACCAGGAGAAUAAGCCCCGGCUAACUUCGUGCCAGCAGCCGCGGUAAUACGAAGGGGGCUAGCGUUGUUCGGAAUCACUGGGCGUAAAGAGCACGUAGGCGGAUCUUUAAGUCAGGGGUGAAAUCCCGAGGCUCAACCUCGGAACUGCCUUUGAUACUGGGGAUCUCGAGUCCGGGAGAGGUGAGUGGAACUGCGAGUGUAGAGGUGAAAUUCGUAGAUAUUCGCAAGAACACCAGUGGCGAAGGCGGCUCACUGGCCCGGAACUGACGCUGAGGUGCGAAAGCGUGGGGAGCAAACAGGAUUAGAAACCCUUGUAGUCCGACUGAGA
RNAcentral lists this ribosomal RNA (460 nucleotides) under uncultured bacterium. RNAcentral describes it as "bacterial SSU rRNA". It matches the Rfam family "Bacterial small subunit ribosomal RNA", at positions 327 to 805 of the family's 1533-position model. The record is from RNAcentral.